Molecule: non-coding RNA, 1012 nt
Organism: Nicotiana tabacum (common tobacco)
Lineage: Eukaryota; Viridiplantae; Streptophyta; Magnoliopsida; Solanales; Solanaceae
Source: RefSeq, a predicted model, not a curated record
AUUUACGCUAAUGAAGGAAAUUUUCCUACUUUUUAAUUUUUAAUCGUUACAAAUUGAAACUAAAAACAUUAAGGAAGGCCUGUCUACUGAAACCCUACCAAUCUCUUCCCAUCCUCAACCCCCAAAUCACGAUGCCAAUGUUUUAUAUUCACAAAAUUGUCAAGGUCCCCGUGAAACCGUAGCCGCCUACUACUAAUUUUCUGUUGAACUAACUUCGUAUAUCUAUCUGGCACUAUCAAUCUCUUGAAGUUUGGAGUUGCGAUCGGUUAGCGAAUAAGCCAAUCCCAGCGUGACGCAGAAAAUCGAAAGGGGAGAUGACCAGAACCCUGAAAUCCAUUAACCACAUAUGGCAUACUGAUGCAUAGUCGAUGCAAAAGGUAAAUGAGUUACUAAAUUAUAGGGCUAUCCUUUUCACUACUACAUUGCGUGAUGCUAUUUCCAACAGGAUAUGAACAUACAGUCACUUAUCUUCUGUUAAGAGUUGUUUGGUUGUGCUUGAUGGUGACUCUAAUCCAAACAACACGGCAGAUUGGAUUGGAAAAGAAGCUUGUGGAUACUUGUUCGUGAGGGAAAAGCUUAUAGAAAGCACUGUCCACCAUUCUUGGGACAUUGAAAUUUGGAAGUUAGGAAAAGAUUGCCAAAGAUGUUUUGUCACCUAAACAGCUGGCUGAGAAGGGGAUAUCAUCUGUCAAACACUUCCUACAUUUAAGGUAGCCGCAUGACUUUAUAUACAUUUUCAACAUAUCUUACGAGUUCUUGGAAUACUUUAAAAGAAAGCGAGAGCAACUAAUGUAAAGGAAUGGUUGACUUGGGGAAAACAUGGAAACUAAAGCUUUUUCAUCAGAAGGACGAUAUUAAAGCUAUGACCAGCGUAGAUUGUUUUGGACGUUUAAGGGAAAAGUUAUUUAAUUGUAUGUUGAAGUAACUUAUAGUUGGUUCAAAUUCUUUGUAGUGUACUGGAAAGUAUUGAAAUAGGAAUGGAUGUUAUUGUGAAUAAAUUAUUGUUAAUCUA